RNAcentral lists this ribosomal RNA (465 nucleotides) under uncultured bacterium. Its description in RNAcentral is "partial 16S ribosomal RNA". It matches the Rfam family "Bacterial small subunit ribosomal RNA", at positions 338 to 795 of the family's 1533-position model. The record is from RNAcentral.
CCUACGGGUGGCAGCAGUAGGGAAUCUUCCACAAUGGGCGCAAGCCUGAUGGAGCAACGCCGCGUGGAUGAAGACGGUCUUCGGGUCGUAAAACCCUGUUGAUAGAGAAGAAAGUGCGUGAGAGUAACUGUUCACGUUUCGACGGUAUCUAACCAGAAAGCCACGGCUAACUACGUGCCAGCAGCAGCGGUAAUACGUAGGUGGCAAGCGUUGUCCGGAUUUAUUGGGCGUAAAGGGAACGCAGUUGGUCUUUUAAGUCUGAUGUGAAAGCCUGCGGCUUAACCGGAGUAGUGCAUGGGAAACUGGGAGACUUGAGUGCAGAAGAGGGGAGUGGAACUCGAUGUGUAGCGGUGAAAUGCGUAGAUAUAUGGAAGAACACCAGUGGCGAAGGCGGCUCUCUGGUCUGUAACUGACGCUGAGGUUCGAAAGCGUGGGUAGCAAACAGGAUUAGAUACCCCGGUAGUC